GCGGACGGGUGAGUAACGUGUGGGCAACCUGCCCUGCACUGGGGAAUAAUCAUUGGAAACGAUGACUAAUACCGCAUACGGUUCCCGGGAGGCAUCUUCCGGGAAAGAAAGGAUUUAUUCGGUGCAGGAUGGGCCCGCAUCUGAUUAGCUAGUUGGUGAGAUAACAGCUCACCAAGGCGACGAUCAGUAGCCGACCUGAGAGGGUGACCGGCCACAUUGGGACUGAGACACGGCCCAAACUCCUACGGGAGGCAGCAGUGGGGAAUAUUGCACAAUGGGCGAAAGCCUGAUGCAGCAACGCCGCGUGAAGGAAGAAGGGUUUCGGCUCGUAAACUUCUAUCAACAGGGACGAAAGAAAUGACGGUACCUGAAUAAGAAGCCCCGGCUAACUACGUGCCAGCAGCCGCGGUAAUACGUAGGGGGCAAGCGUUAUCCGGAAUUACUGGGUGUAAAGGGUGAGUAGGCGGCAUGGUAAGCCAGAUGUGAAAGCCUUGGGCUUAACCCAAGGAUUGCAUUUGGAACUAUCAAGCUAGAGUACAGGAGAGGAAAGCGGAAUUCCUAGUGUAGCGGUGAAAUGCGUAGAUAUUAGGAAGAACACCAGUGGCGAAGGCGGCUUUCUGGACUGAAACUGACGCUGAGGCACGAAAGCGUGGGGAGCGAACAGGAUUAGAUACCCUGGUAGU
RNAcentral lists this ribosomal RNA (683 nucleotides) under uncultured bacterium. RNAcentral describes it as "bacterial SSU rRNA". It matches the Rfam family "Bacterial small subunit ribosomal RNA", at positions 98 to 794 of the family's 1533-position model. The record is from RNAcentral.